RNAcentral lists this long non-coding RNA (403 nucleotides) under Medicago truncatula (barrel medic). RNAcentral's name for it is "lncRNA gene43176". Lineage: Eukaryota; Viridiplantae; Streptophyta; Magnoliopsida; Fabales; Fabaceae. The record is from RNAcentral.
GUUAUCUUCUCCAGAAGAAUGUUGUCAACAAAGAAUUUCACUAUAAAAGAGAUUAAAGGGGUUGUAUUUUUUAAUUGUGUGCUCAAUGCAAGCAGUGGUUUGAAGAAAAGUAAAAUACUUCAAUUCAUAGGUUAGAUGACGAUUAAGAUUCUUAAAAUCCCCUCUAUCUUUUUUGUCAGAUUAAUGUAACAAUCAAUACCAAUUAUGAUUAAAGUGCUUUAUAAACAAUGUGUCAAUUGAAAAAUAGUAAUUAAUAUGUAGACUCAUCUAUGUGUAACUAUGCUUAUCUAAAGAGGUGUUAAGUGAAUUUUGUAGUGAUGAAUCAUGAAUCUAUAAUCAUACUUAUAAAACCAUAAUUUGUCAUAUUAAAAUAAAGGCUUAAUUAAAAUACAAAACAGUCCCC